GCUCCCUCCUCACUGCGCUCUCCCCCUCUCGUCUGCUCCGCUGCCCCGUCAUCCGAGAAGCUGCUCACCGGCGGACGGGUGAGGUCCGCGUCCAGGCCCUGUGCAGCCUGCCGGCCGGCUGCAUGCCCGGGGAUACGGCUGGAUCUUCCUGUCAGUGCCGUGCGCAGCUCCUGCGCCAUCCCAUCAGCGGGGGGGUGGGGGAGAUCUGCGAGCUCGGGGCCAGGCCUCAACGGGACCCUGAGCUGUUUCUUGCCUCUGCCGCCACUCUACUCAACCUCCUGGUCACAUAGGGGCCCCUGCUGCUGUUCCAGCUACGGCCCCCCGCCUUCGUAGUUGCGCUCCCUAGGUGUGUGUCAUGGAUCACAGUCUGUUUGGCUGCCUGCGCAGCCCCCAUGCUCCGGCACCCGCGCAGGCCCUGCAUCCAGCCUUCGCCCAGUUUGGCCGCUCUGAACACGUCUCAUACCCGGACCUGCAGGGGUCGUCGCCGUCCUGCACUGUGCCGGGUUACCCGGUCGACGGGGGGGUCUUCAGCGGUGCCCCCCACCGCAGCCAGCUGCAUCCGCCUCAGCACCAACACCCAUCCGGCUGGCACUUACCGCAGAUGUCCUCCCCACCACCAGUUGGCGUCAGGCACGGACUCGGCCUCCUGCCCCCUUCCUCCGGCUCUCCGGAGCUGUGUGCCAGUGCGGCUGGCAGCACCCCGACCGGGCUGCCCUGCACGCCGGGGGAUCUUGGCCCACGGACAAUGUCCCCAGCUGACCUGGACAGGAGGGCCGCCAAGCUGAAAAGUGACAGCUCAGACUCCCAGGAUGGGAAUUACAAGAGUGAGGCGAACAGUAAGCCCAGAAAGGAGCGGACGGCGUUCACCAAGGAGCAGAUCCGGGAGCUGGAGGCCGAAUUCUCCCACCACAACUAUCUGACGCGGCUGCGACGAUACGAAAUAGCCGUGAACCUCGACCUCACCGAGAGACAGGUGAAGGUCUGGUUCCAGAACAGGAGGAUGAAGUGGAAGCGGGUGAAAGGGGGGCAGCAGGGGGCGCUGGCGCGUGAGAAGGAACUGGGCAAUGUGCGUAAGGGCACCCUGCUGCCCUCGGAGUUUUCCGGCAUCGCCGGCAUGCACCGCUCCAGGGAUUCCCUCACCAACGACGACAGCCGCGACAGCGACCAGAGUUCGGAGCAUGCACAUUUAUGACGCUGCAUGGGCCCGGCCCUCCGCUUGCAGACUCUGCCUCCAAACUCAGGACCUGCUGACACGUCGUCCAGGCAAAACAAGCCGCCUGACGAUCUGGAUGGGGGCUGAAAUGAUAACGAAUGAUGCGUUCAACAGAGUCACUUUGAAAAGAUGUCUGCUUGUGAGCAAGAACCCACCCCAAAAAAAGUCUUAAAUGUGCACCUUCUCAACUUCCCGAGACACAGACGUAAGCGCUACCCACAGUUGUGCUUAAAACAGCACAGGAAUCCACUGCUGGACUUUUUUCUGGGUGUGUACUUGUUUUUAUUACUGUCCUAAUUUCAAUGCCAGCAUCAAACAGAUCACACACAAGCAUUAUGACCUGCUAGAUGAUAAAAUAGAAUGUUUAUUGUUUUCUCUGCGCUGUAACUGUCUGGAAAAUGCAUGCACAUUGUUGGCUUUGUCUAAAUAGGAUCUGGCUAAUAAUCUUUACAUAUCUGUCAAAGAAAAACAGCAUUCAAAGCUCAUGGCUAAACCUAAGCUAUCACCAUUAUUUCAGCGUCUUUGAGUUUUUGAAAAGCGCUUUAUAAAUAAAAUGUAUUGUUAUAUUAUUAUAAUUUCAGAUCACCAUUUUUUUACAGUGCUUUACGUACAUUAAUUACAGGGUAAACCAGGUGGACUUCAGCCUAGCUGUAUGACUAACAGGGCUUGAAUAUUUAUUUUCGAGCUGAUUUUUGUGUGACAUAGAACAGAUAGCUUUUCACCACGAUGAAACUGGCAGCCGUAUUUUAAACUGACGCAAUGGUUUUGCCAGCACAAGAAAACAUUUCUUAUUUGGCUUUCAGAUGCGAUCUGAUUUUGGAUAAACCGGGCAGCUCUUUCCUGGUCAGCGGCCACCUGUCUUCUCCAUUCUGGCUUUAAGAAAACGUGCAGCUUAAGGGACAAAGGAAUAUCGAACCAGAGCCUUGUUGUUUUGAAUAUCUCUGGACCUUGCUACUUUUGAUCUUGGAUGACCUCCAUCACCUUGAUGCUUUUGGGAAAUGCUUUCCUGUUGCAGGAAAAACAAUAUUGUGAUAACGAAGCUGCAAGCCAAGGUCAACACUGCAAAUGAAAUAAUUUUUUCCACGUUGUAUUUCGCCGCCUUGCAAAACCUCACCAGAGAUUCAGUAUCGUACUGAGCACAGCCGUCUGGGAGGUAAGGAACUGAACUGUCGUGUCUGGGUCACGAACACUCCUGCGUUUGACAGUGGCAGAUGAACUUGGUGAAAUUUGUCCAGCAGUCGAAGGUCUUCUAAAAUCCAUCAUAUUCCUUCAUGAUGAUUCUUUUUAAAAAUGAUGUGGUGCUUUUGUCACACUCAGAUUUUGGCGAAGCGUUUACCCAGGAUGUUUUGUUUUCUUUUCUGUCUGGAAAAUGUCGGAAGUGUAAAAUAUGCAGAGGUUAAAUAUUUACUGCAUGCGCUGUGUGAUGUCACCGGCAUCCAUUCUGAGGUGUCCCUUGUCAUGUGUCCUGAGUGUCCUGGGAUUGGGUCCAAGCUCCCUGCAAGCCUGUACUGGGAAAGCAGUUAUAGAAGAUGGAUGGAUGGAUGAUCCACGUCAAGCCACUGAUUUCAUGGCCUCCUUAACAUCCUACUCUUUUCUAAAGCUUCCGAUUGUAUCAUAUUUGUGUUGUACAGCAAAAUAAAAUGGACUGAUAUCCAA
RNA transcript from Paramormyrops kingsleyae, 2869 nucleotides. It is a transcript of the gene named mesenchyme homeobox 2b, with no coding region annotated. NCBI's taxonomy places the organism in Eukaryota, Metazoa, Chordata, Actinopteri, Osteoglossiformes, Mormyridae. The record is from RefSeq and is a predicted model, not a curated record.